RNAcentral lists this ribosomal RNA (381 nucleotides) under Heterocranainae sp. MZSP 73132. Its description in RNAcentral is "partial small subunit ribosomal RNA". The record is from RNAcentral. Lineage: Eukaryota; Metazoa; Arthropoda; Arachnida; Opiliones; Cranaidae.
AGGAUUAGAUACCCUAGUAUAUAUAAAAUUAUUGAAAUUAAUAUGUAAUGAAAUUUAAUAAUUUUGGCGGUUAAUUAUUAAUUAGAGGAGCUUGUUAUUUAUAGAAAUUACUCUUUAUAUCUUAUUUUGAAAAGUUUAUUCAUCUCCGUUAUUAGAUAAUUGAUUUAUUUAAGAAUAUAAAGUAAUUAAAAAUUUCAGGUCAAGAUGUAGCUAUUAAAAAUUUAUAGUUAGCUACAGUUUUUAAAAAAUGGACUUUUAAUUUUAAUUUUAUUGUAAAAUUGAAUUUGAUUGUAAUAUUAAUUAGAAUGUUAAUAUGAAUAAUGUUAAUUAAUGUACAGAUUGCCCGUCACUUCUGUUAUAAAAAAAUAGGAUAAGUCGUAA